RNAcentral lists this non-coding RNA (195 nucleotides) under Planctomycetota bacterium. Its description in RNAcentral is "6S RNA". It matches the Rfam family "6S / SsrS RNA". Rfam says of the family: E. coli 6S RNA was the first non coding RNA to be sequenced, but its function was unknown until recently. It consists of 184 nucleotides that fold into an extended hairpin structure with a large single-stranded internal bulge. Lineage: Bacteria; Pseudomonadati; Planctomycetota. The record is from RNAcentral.
AUGCCUCUGCGGUGUUCGUGAAUGAGCGUUCUUUUGGCGAACCGAUAAGAGUACCUGCGGGGAGCUUCCGCUUCGGCGUAGGGAUGGAAGGCGCGCACGCCCGCCAUAAGCGCGGGAUUCGCAAGAUUCAUCCCAGGCUUCCCAGCUUAAACAGCGGGUUCUCAAAAGCGCUCACACGGCACAGGUGGAGGUAUU